AGUGAACGCUGGCGGCGUGCCUAAUACAUGCAAGUCGAACGGAGAUUAAGUAGCUUGCUAUUUAAUCUUAGUGGCGCACGGGUGAGUAAUAUAUAGCUAACUUGCCCAUUACUAAGGGACAACAGUUGGAAACGACUGCUAAUACCUUAUACUCCGUAUCUAUAUAAGUAGAUACGGGAAAGUUUUUCGGUAAUGGAUAGGGCUAUAUCGUAUCAGCUAGUUGGUAAGGUAAUGGCUUACCAAGGCUAUGACGCGUAACUGGUCUGAGAGGAUGAUCAGUCACACUGGAACUGAGACACGGUCCAGACUCCUACGGGAGGCAGCAGUAGGGAAUAUUGCUCAAUGGGGGAAACCCUGAAGCAGCAACGCCGCGUGGAGGAUGACACUUUUCGGAGCGUAAACUCCUUUUCUUGGGAAAGAAUUANGAC
This 428-nucleotide ribosomal RNA is filed under the name uncultured bacterium. RNAcentral's name for it is "bacterial SSU rRNA". It matches the Rfam family "Bacterial small subunit ribosomal RNA", at positions 29 to 456 of the family's 1533-position model. The record is from RNAcentral.